UGCUGAGGAAGUUCAGUCCACCACCUUCCCUCCAGACCAGAAAAGAGUCUUAAAGCUUGUUUUACAUGUGUCUUGAGGUACAGAUCAGGCUGAUCUGUACUGAUCUGAAGAUUGAAGAGCUCUGUGGAUGGGUUGGGUUUUUGACAAUUAAAAAGGUCAAUAUUUGCUCAACGUGUGAGGCUUUAACCUGGAAACCGGCUGCAGACAGCAGCGAGAAAAUGAAGAUCCAGGAGAACACCAAGGAGCCAAUUAACGUGGCCGGAGCAUCCGGAUCAGCCGGCGAGACCGGGCCCAGUCCUCCGGGCCUCUAAUUAUAAAGCCUCUCGGCACGGCCUUCGCUACUACACUGUGAGUAAUGGAGCACCAGAUGCAGGAACUCACACUCGACUCACACUCGCUCACACACAGCGAGAGUGCUUAAUCCUCAAUAAAACCACUUUUCUACA
This is a long non-coding RNA of Astyanax mexicanus (Mexican tetra), 446 nucleotides long. RefSeq lists it as uncharacterized. The transcript is spliced from 2 exons. NCBI's taxonomy places the organism in Eukaryota, Metazoa, Chordata, Actinopteri, Characiformes, Acestrorhamphidae. The record is from RefSeq and is a predicted model, not a curated record.